Molecule: ribosomal RNA, 510 nt
Filed under: uncultured bacterium
Lineage: Bacteria
Description: partial 16S ribosomal RNA
Rfam family: Bacterial small subunit ribosomal RNA
Source: RNAcentral
GACGAACGCUGGCGGCGUGCUUAACACAUGCAAGUCGAACGAAGAGCGAUGGAAGCUUGCUUCUAUCAAUCUUAGUGGCGCACGGGUGAGUAACGCGUAAUCAACCUGCCCUUCAGAGGGGGACAACAGUUGGAAACGACUGCUAAUACCGCAUACGAUCCAAUCUCGGCAUCGGGACUGGAUGAAAGGUGGCCUCUAUUUAUAAGCUAUCACUGAAGGAGGGGAUUGCGUCUGAUUAGCUAGUUGGAGGGGUAACGGCCCACCAAGGCGAUGAUCAGUAGCCGGUCUGAGAGGAUGAACGGCCACAUUGGGACUGAGACACGGCCCAGACUCCUACGGGAGGCAGCAGUGGGGAAUCUUCCGCAAUGGACGAAAGUCUGACGGAGCAACGCCGCGUGAGUGAUGACGGCCUUCGGGUUGUAAAGCUCUGUUAAUCGGGACGAAUGGUUCUUGUGCGAAUAGGGCGAGGAUUUGACGGUACCGGAAUAGAAAGCCACGGCUAACUACGUG